This 506-nucleotide long non-coding RNA is filed under the name Vigna radiata. RNAcentral describes it as "long non-coding RNA (VRAD_LNC014873)". Lineage: Eukaryota; Viridiplantae; Streptophyta; Magnoliopsida; Fabales; Fabaceae. The record is from RNAcentral.
UAAACUUGAAGACUUUUCACAAAACUUUGAAGAAAUGAAAGAAGUGAGGUCUCUUAGGUGAGGCUUGGACUUUGGAUCCAAGACACACUCACCGUCUACCAAUUUUAAUGAGAAAUUAAGAGCAAAAGGUUUACAAGUGAUGGAAGAACACUUGUGAAUUCUUCCAAGUCACUUGCUUAAUGGCCAUUUACAAAUGCUAUUACAAAACAAAGGAACGGAGCCAUAAGGAAAGGAAUGAAUCAAUUUGUGUAGCUUUGGCUGCUCUCAAAAGGUAUUGAAUCAAUGGUGAUUCACACAAUUCUCUUAGCUGCUGGUGUGAAACUCUUCUGCCGUGACAACCAGCACUUGUAGAACCAAAAUCUGUUGUUGCUCGGUCAAGAAUUACAGCCCGAUAAAUGGUCACUGCUGCACAAAAAUCAGCUUCCAAUCUGAUCUUUUCCUUCAACAAUCCUCUUCCUAAAGUGCUACCAAUUAUGCAAAGUCGUCUGGAAACAAUCUGCAACCAC